Molecule: ribosomal RNA, 305 nt
Filed under: uncultured bacterium
Lineage: Bacteria
Description: bacterial SSU rRNA
Rfam family: Bacterial small subunit ribosomal RNA
Source: RNAcentral
GCCUAGGGGCGCAGCAGUGGGGAAUAUUGCACAAUGGGGGGAACCCUGAUGCAGCGACGCCACGUGGGUGAAGGAGUACUUCGGUACGUAAAGCCCUAUCAGCAGGAAAGAAAAUGACGGUACCUGACUAAGAAGCCCCGGCUAACUACGUGCCAGCAGCCGCGGUAAUACGUAGGGGGCAAGCGUUAUCCGGAUUUACUGGGUGUAAAGGGGGCGCAGACGGCGAUGCAAGCCAGGAGUGAAAGCCCGGGGCCCAACCCCGGGACUGCUCUUGGAACUGCGUGGCUAGAGUGCAGGAGGGGCAG